UUUCCGUAGGUGAACCUGCGGAAGGAUCAUUAAAGUUAUAGUCCCCCGGCCCUCUGGGCUGGGGUCUUCUAUACCACCCUUUGUUUAUUACACCUUUGUUGCUUUGGCAGGCCUGCCCUCGGGCUGCUGGCUCCGGCCGGCUCGCGUCUGCCAGAGGACCUAAACUCUGUUUGUAUAUGAAGUCUGAGUACUAUAUAAUAGUUGAAACUUUCAACAACGGAUCUCUUGGUUCUG
RNAcentral lists this unclassified non-coding RNA (234 nucleotides) under plant metagenome. RNAcentral's name for it is "partial contains small subunit ribosomal RNA, internal transcribed spacer 1, and 5.8S ribosomal RNA". The record is from RNAcentral.